CAAGAUGUUCAAAUGAAUGAAGAGGCCAUAAAGCUUUGAAAGGAAAAAAAAUGGGGGGGGGGGGGGGGAAGCAAUGGAAGAUGGGUGGUAGGCUUGGGAUGGAGGGUGUGGUGAUGGCGCGUUGAAAAACAAAAGGCGGGAAAGAAAAAGAGCCAACACGCCCCAUCCUCUCCGUUUGUCAUGUCCCUCUACUCGAACAAGCCGCCAGCUUUUCCAGCCUCCAUCACUCUAUUCUAUGGCCACCAAUUUAUUCUGUACUAGUUUUAUUGCAACCGAAGCAAAUAACUAUCAUGAUGGUGUCAAGAGAGC
Molecule: non-coding RNA, 309 nt
Organism: Caenorhabditis elegans
Lineage: Eukaryota; Metazoa; Nematoda; Chromadorea; Rhabditida; Rhabditidae
Source: Ensembl